Molecule: ribosomal RNA, 393 nt
Filed under: Triticum aestivum (bread wheat)
Lineage: Eukaryota; Viridiplantae; Streptophyta; Magnoliopsida; Poales; Poaceae
Description: partial small subunit ribosomal RNA
Source: RNAcentral
AUGGCGCAUGAUGGUGGGCGGCGGUCUAGCUGGUCGGCUUCGGUCCGUUGGGCGGUGGGGAUUGGAGUACGGGAGAAAUCCUUGCCGGUCUUCGGCCCCGAUGCGGUGACACCUGUGGGUGCCACCAUUCCUUCCUGGAGGGUGUCGGUGAUAUCCAUCCCCCACCUCCCUCCGCGUGCUGGGGAAACCCUAGGACAUGUCCGGGCAGCAGCGUCGUCGGCGUCGCUUUCCUUCUUGGAGGAACGAAGAAAGCGGGUGGCUCUCUGCCGUGAUCAUCGGGGCAACUACAUGGGGGCUUCUGCGGUAGUGAUUAAUGAUAUGAUUCAGCAGAAGAUUCUUGAGGCCACGGCGUGCAGAGAAGCAUUUGCGCUGGCAGAUGAUCUUUAUGUUUGA